Long non-coding RNA from Cebus imitator (Panamanian white-faced capuchin), 2302 nucleotides. RefSeq lists it as uncharacterized. The record is from RefSeq and is a predicted model, not a curated record. The transcript is spliced from 2 exons. Lineage: Eukaryota; Metazoa; Chordata; Mammalia; Primates; Cebidae.
GUGUCCAACCUCCCAACUAGGCAACCGGCCUUACAACUAUUCUUAUGUUAGGGACAAAGAUUGUCAAUUUCACUACCUCUGUUGUUAAUAGUAAACACAGUUUCACUGUCAUGAAAAGUGAUACAGCAACAUAUAAACAAAACCUAGUGAAAAGAACACGGGAAGAGGAAAAACAACAGUAGGUGUUUGAGUAAUGGCAUUGGGGGUGAAUUUUGUUUUUACAUUUUUUAUUAUUUUUGAUGUUAUUUGUACCUUUAAACUUUUGGUUCAUUAACACAUGCUCACUCAUGGAAAAUUUUUAGUUAGGUGAGUAUGAACUCAUUUUGUUUAUUUUUGUGCUAACUAUGAAAGAGAUGUUAACAGAAAUUACAGAUUUAAAAAACAUUGUUUGGAAGGGGAGGUGGUUUGCUUAAUCUGAGAAUAAAUUAUUUUUUGGCAUUACCUUAGACUCAUCGUAGAAAUAGACAAUCUAAAUUCUUUGUUAUAGCCACAUUUGUCAGGACUGAAGACACCAGUUGUGUUUUAAUCAUAAGAUCACAGUAUUCCUUUGUCCUAUGUCUGGAGACUUCUUGGAAGCUGGAGCACACAAAUAGCUACAGCAAAACUUGAGGAAUGGGCAUGAAUAGACUGGCUUCGGGGAACCUGCCAGCUUGGCUGUGUGGCCAAGGUAAGAGGCAAGCCAAGGCAGAGCUAGAGCUCAGAGCUGGAGGGUAAAUUAAAGCAACAAAUGUAGAAAUAUUAAGCCUGAAGAGGCGACAACGUUGAACUCUAAAAUGCAGGCCAAAGCUCAGACUUCAAGCCGUCUGGCUGCUCCUGGAGUGCCCAGAGGUCAAAGUCCAGCAGGAGCAAAGGUGGGGGUGUGGUCCUGGAAUGUGGAGUGUUGGAGGGAUGUGCAAGAGGAGGCACUUUAAGGUCCAGAGAUUCCAGCUGCCUGGUGUACCCUUGGAAGAAUAAAGGGCUAGGAACUGGAUAAGUCAGGCUCAAGUCCAAGCUGCCUAAGGAAUCAGGGAAAGAAUGGAGCUCAGAGUGAAAGGUCAGGGCAGCAUCUAAAAACCCAGGAUAGCAGCAAAGCUGGCAGGGGCCCCUGACUCUGGUAAGAGCAGCCUGCAGCACCAUGCCACGGGAGGCCUGAUUGAUCACUGCAAGGUUCUUUGAAUUGACUGCACCAUGGAUUACACCGUAGUUGAGCCAUAGUGACUCCUGUGACCCACACAUACACCUCCAGAUGGCCUCCUGGAGCCAGAAAGUCUGAGAGAACAAGAAAACCGCAAAAAUAGAAGACUAGCCCCUGCAGUGCCUGAUUAACCGACCUUGCAACAUUCCACCACUGCUUCUGCCUCAACUGAUAAAUCAACCUUGUGACACUGGACGCUGUGGCCUGAUUAACCGACCUUGUGACAUUCUACCGCUGUUCCUGCCUCAAUGGAUAGGUCAACCUUGUGACAUUGGACCCUGUGACACCCCCCACCCCCAGCUUGCAAAACAAAACAUCCUAAACUGUAACUUUCCAUGGUCUGCUCCCAAUCUAUAAAACCAGCUCCUAUCCCACCACCCUCUGUUGACUCUCUUUUCAGACUCAGCCUGUUCACAUCCGAGCAAAUAAACAGCCUUGUUGCUCACACAAAGCCUGUUUAGGCGGUCUCCUCAUUCAAGGCACACUUAACAGCCACACCUUGCGUUUACAGACGAGGAUUAGUAGGGUAUGAGUAGGAUCCUGCUGGUGCCAGGGAAGGCAAUGCCGUAUACAUCUUUAGAAAGUUUUCACAAAGGCCUGAAGGACACAAUCUUCUCCAAAGUCCCAAUGUCGCUGUUUGCUGGCAACAAUUCGAGCCAAAAGAGAAGUGGCACAGAAUGCGCCAGGGGUGUGCUGCGUAUAGCCCCGAGGACCACAAGGGCUUCCUGGGUCAGGUCUGCCAUCUCUGGCUAAGAUGGGCUCACCAUCUAGGACCUUGACCAAGUUCCUGGACCACCAAGAAUGCCCCACCAAGAGCCUCCUUCUUCUGGUGGCUUGUGCCUGCUUCCCAUGGAGAACUCCAGAAGGGAGAAAACUAUGAGGAGGUGGAGAAUGUGGCAGGGAUCCUAACUUUCUUGCUGAAGGAAGUUCUUAACAAGUACCCAUCUGCCUUCAGGGAAGAAAACAUAACUCAUUUUUGUCUUUCAAAUUCAAUUCUCAAAACCAAAUCCUGUUGUCAGCAAUCUGUGUCCCAACGCCUUCCUCAGCAACAGCAUUUUCCCUGUAGAAUUAGUUUCCAAUGUUCAUUCUUAAAUAAUCCACAGAAGAUUAAAAGGAAUCCAGAUACCC